CUGGUUGAUCCUGCCAGACCCGACUGCUAUCGGAUUGGGACUAAGCCAUGCGAGUCAACUCCGCAAGGGGUGGCGCACGGCUCAGUAACACGUAGUCAACCUACCCUGGGGACGGGGAUAACCUCGGGAAACUGAGGCUAAACCCCGAUGGGCCAUGGCUCCUGGAAUGGGCUAUGGCUGAAAUCUACAUGGCCCCAGGAUGGGACUGCGGCCGAUCAGGUUGUUGGUGGGGUAAUGGCCCACCAAGCCUAUAACCGCUGCGGGCUCUGAGAGGAGGAGCCCGGAGAUGGGCACUGAGACAAGGGCCCAGGUCCUAUGGGGCGCAGCAGGCGCGAAACCUCCGCAAUGGGCGAAAGCCCGACGGGGUCAGUCCGAGUGGUUCCCGCUGAGGGAACCUUUUGCCAGCUGUAAACAGGCUGGCGAAUAAGGGGUGGGCAAGUUUGGUGUCAGCCGCCGCGGUAAUACCAGCACCCCGAGUGGUCGGGACGAUUAUUGGGCCUAAAGCAUCCGUAGCCGGCCCAGUAAGUCCUCCGUUAAAUCCAACGGCUCAACCGUUGGGCUGCGGGGGAUACUGCUGGGCUAGGGGACGGGAGAGGCGAGGGGUAUUCCCGGGGUAGGGGUAAAAUCCACUGAUCCCGGGAGGACCACCAGUGGCGAAGGCGCCUCGCUAGAACGUGCCCGACGGUGAGGGAUGAAAGCUGGGGGAGCGAACCGGAUUAGAUACCCGGGUAGUCCCAGCCGUAAACGAUGUAGGCUCGGUGUUGGGCUGCCUCAGUGGCAGCCCAGUGCCGCAGGGAAGCCGUUAAGCCUACCGCCUGGGGAGUACGGCCGCAAGGCUGAAACUUAAAGGAAUUGGCGGGGGAGCACCAC
This 870-nucleotide ribosomal RNA is filed under the name uncultured archaeon. RNAcentral's name for it is "bacterial SSU rRNA". It matches the Rfam family "Archaeal small subunit ribosomal RNA", at positions 4 to 882 of the family's 1478-position model. The record is from RNAcentral.